This 259-nucleotide ribosomal RNA is filed under the name uncultured Glomus. Its description in RNAcentral is "partial 18S ribosomal RNA". It matches the Rfam family "Eukaryotic small subunit ribosomal RNA", at positions 624 to 887 of the family's 1831-position model. Lineage: Eukaryota; Fungi; Glomeromycota; Glomeromycetes; Glomerales; Glomeraceae. The record is from RNAcentral.
AAGCUCGUAGUUGAAUUUCGGGGUUAGUAGGUUGGUCAUGCCUCUGGUAUGUACUGGUCUCACUGAUUCCUCCUUCCUUAUGAACCGUAAUGCCAUUAAUUUGGUGUUGCGGGGAAUUUGGACUGUUACUUUGAAAAAAUUGAGUGUUUAAAGCAAGCUAACGCUUGAAUACAUUAGCAUGGAAUAAUGAAAUAGGACGUUCGAUCUUAUUUUGUUUGGUUUCUAGGAUUGACGUAAUGAUUAAUAGGAGUAGUUGGGU